Molecule: ribosomal RNA, 405 nt
Filed under: uncultured bacterium
Lineage: Bacteria
Description: bacterial SSU rRNA
Rfam family: Bacterial small subunit ribosomal RNA
Source: RNAcentral
GAUGAACGCUAGCGGCAGGCUUAAUACAUGCAAGUCGUGGGGCAGCAUGAGUAGCAAUACUUGAUGGCGACCGGCAAACGGGUGAGGAACACGUACACAACCUUCCUUCAAGCGGGGAAUAGCCCAGAGAAAUUUGGAUUAAUACCCCAUAAUAUAUUUGAUAAGGCAUCUUAUUAAUAUUAAAGCUUCGGCACUUGAUGAUGGGUGUGCGGCUGAUUAGAUAGUUGGCGGGGUAACGGCCCACCAAGUCUACGAUCAGUAGCUGAUGUGAGAGCAUGAUCAGCCACACGGGCACUGAGACACGGGCCCGACUCCUACGGGAGGCAGCAGUAAGGAUAUUGGACAAUGGACGAAAGUCUGAUCCAGCCAUGCCGCGUGAAGAUUAAGGUCCUCUGGAUUGUAAAC